Molecule: ribosomal RNA, 250 nt
Filed under: uncultured bacterium
Lineage: Bacteria
Description: partial 16S ribosomal RNA
Rfam family: Bacterial small subunit ribosomal RNA
Source: RNAcentral
UACGAAGGGGGCUAGCGUUGUUCGGAAUCACUGGGCGUAAAGCGUAUGUAGGCGGAUCAAAAAGUUAGAUGUGAAAUCCCUGGGCUCAACCCAGGAACUGCAUUUAAAACUAGUGAUCUAGAAUUUGGUAGGGGCCAGUAGAAUUUCCAGUGUAGAGGUGAAAUUCGUAGAUAUUGGAAAGAAUACCAGUGGCGAAGGCGACUGGCUGGGCCAUUUUUGACGCUGAGAUACGAAAGCGUGGGUAGCAAAC